UCAAGCGCGAAAAGGGCGUUUGGUGAAUGCCUUGGCAGUAAGAGGCGAUGAAAGACGUGAUACUCUGCGAUAAGCCAUGGGGAGCUGAGAAUAAGCUUUGAUCCAUGGAUUUCUGAAUGGGGCAACCCACCUGAUUGUUUAUUGUUGUCCUACCGCUUUGCUACUUGAGGACGUAAGUUCGCAAGGUGCAGACGGUGGGUUCAUCAGUAAGCAGAACCAGGUAUUUAUAGACUGAAUACAUAGGUUUAUAAAAGCAAACCCGGGGAACUGAAACAUCUAAGUACCCGGAGGAAAGGAAAUCAAUUGAUACUCCCCUAGUAGCGGCGAGCGAACGGGGACCAGCCGAGCCAUGAGUGUGGUUAGAAUGCGUUGGAAUGCGCAACCAAAGUGGGUGAUAGUCCCGUAUAAGAAGCAUGAUUGGACGUAUUAAGUAGGGCGGAACACGUGAAAUUCUGUCUGAAGAUCGGAGGACCACCUUCGAAGGCUAAGUACUCCUUACUGACCGAUAGUGAACCAGUACCGUGAGGGAAAGGUGAAAAGCACCCCGACGAGGGGAGUGAAACAGUACCUGAAACCGAACGCCUACAAUCAGUUGGAGGGUCUUUACGGCCUGACAGCGUACCUUUUGUAUAAUGGGUCAUCGACUUGGUCUCACAAGCAAGCUUAAGCCGUUAGGUGUAGGCGUAGCGAAAGCGAGUCUUAAUAGGGCGUUGAGUUUGUGGGAUCAGACCCGAAACCGAGUGAUCUAGGCAUGGCCAGGUUGAAGAUAAGGUAACACUUAUUGGAGGACCGAACCCACAUCCGUUGAAAAGGAUCGGGAUGAGCUGUGCCUAGGGGUGAAAGGCCAAUCAAACUCGGAGAUAGCUGGUUCUCUGCGAAAUCUAUUUAGGUAGAGCGUCAUCCGAAUACCCUCGGGGGUAGAGCACUGGAUGGGUAAUGGGGCCCCACAGGCUUACUGAUCCUAACCAAACUCCGAAUACCGAGGAGUACUAGAUGGCAGACACACAGCGGAUGCUAACGUCCGUUGUGAAGAGGGAAACAACCCUGACCUACAGCUAAGGCCCCUAAUUCAUGGCUAAGUGGGAAAGCAGGUGAGACGACCAAAACAACCAGGAGGUUGGCUUAGAAGCAGCCAUCCUUUAAAGAUAGCGUAACAGCUCACUGGUCUAAAUAAGUUGUCCUGCGGCGAAGAUGUAACGGGGCUCAAGCCAUGAGCCGAAGCUGAGGAUGCACGUAGUGCAUGGUAGCAGAGCGUAGUGUGACAUAACACAACGCCUCCUUAGCUCCUUCGGGAGCAUUGGAGGCGAGGUGUUUUCGAUGAAGCCGGGGCGUGAGCCAACCGGUGGAGAGAUCACUAGCGAGAAUGAUGACAUGAGUAGCGACAAACAGGGUGAGAGACCCUGUCGCCGAAAGUCCAAGGGUUCCUGCUUAAAGCUAAUCUGAGCAGGGUAAGCCGGCCCCUAAGGCGAGGCAGAAAUGCGUAGUCGAUGGGAACCAGGUUAAUAUUCCUGGGCCAGGAGAUGGUGACGGAUUGCGAAGAUUGUUCCUCCUUAUUGGAUUGGAGGGGCCGUUUAGCAGUUCCUGGAAAUAGCCCUCCGUAGGACCGUACCCUAAACCGACACAGGUGGACUGGUAGAGAAUACCAAGGCGCUUGAGAGAACGAUGUUGAAGGAACUCGGCAAAAUACCUCCGUAAGUUCGCGAGAAGGAGGCCCGUUCAGUAGGCAACUAUUGGGCGGGGGCACAAACCAGGGGGUGGCGACUGUUUACUAAAAACACAGGGCUCUGCGAAGUCGCAAGACGACGUAUAGGGUCUGACGCCUGCCCGGUGCUGGAAGGUUAAAAGGAGGGGUGCAAGCUCUGAAUUGAAGCCCCAGUAAACGGCGGCCGUAACUAUAACGGUCCUAAGGUAGCGAAAUUCCUUGUCGGG
This 1929-nucleotide ribosomal RNA is filed under the name seawater metagenome. RNAcentral describes it as "bacterial LSU rRNA". It matches the Rfam family "Bacterial large subunit ribosomal RNA", at positions 1 to 1976 of the family's 2925-position model. The record is from RNAcentral.